This 492-nucleotide ribosomal RNA is filed under the name uncultured bacterium. RNAcentral describes it as "partial 16S ribosomal RNA". It matches the Rfam family "Bacterial small subunit ribosomal RNA", at positions 29 to 507 of the family's 1533-position model. The record is from RNAcentral.
AGUGAACGCUGGCGGUAGGCCUAACACAUGCAAGUCGAGCGGCAGCACGGUAAGCGCUUGCUCUUGCGGUUGGCGGGUGGCGGGCGGGUAACGCAUACAUCGCAAUCUACUUUUUCGUGGAGGAUAACGUGGAGCAGCUUACGCUAAUACCUCAUACGACCUACGGGUGAAAGCAAGAGAUAUUCGGACCUUUCCCGAUUGAAAGAGACGGAGUCGGAUUAGCUAGUUGGCGGGGUAAAGGCCCACCAAGGCGACGAUCCGUAGCCGGUCUGAGAGGAUGAUCAGCCACACUGGAACUGAGACACGGUCCAGACUCCUACGGGAGGCAGCAGUGGGGAAUAUUGGACAAUGGGCGCAAGCCUGACCCAGCAAUACCGCGUGGGUGAAGAAGGCCUUCGGGUUGUAAAGCUCUUUUGUUGGGAAAGAAAAGCAGCAGGUGAAUACGCCGAUGUUCUGACGGUACCUAAAGAAUAAGCACCGGCUAACUUCGUG